CGUGUAGGCGGGCGAACAAGUCAGAUGUAAAAGUCCACGGCUCAACCAUGGUUUGUCAUCUGAAACUGUUCGUCUUGAGUUCGAGAGAGGGUAGUGGAAUUCCAGGUGUAGCGGUGAAAUGCGUAGAUAUCUGGAAGAACACCGGAUGCGAAGGCGGCUACCUGGCUCGUAACUGACGCUGAGGCGCGAAAGCGUGGGGAGCAAACA
This 207-nucleotide ribosomal RNA is filed under the name uncultured bacterium. RNAcentral describes it as "partial 16S ribosomal RNA". It matches the Rfam family "Bacterial small subunit ribosomal RNA", at positions 568 to 774 of the family's 1533-position model. The record is from RNAcentral.